GAUGAACGCUAGCGGCAGGCUUAAUACAUGCAAGUCAAGGGGUCAGCAAUGGCACCGGCGGACGGGUGAGUAACGCGUACACAACGUACCUUUAACUGGGGGAUAGCAUCUGGAAACGGGUGGUAAUACCGCAUGUGGUUGCGAGGAGGCAUCUCUUUGUAACUAAAACUUAGGUGGUUAGAGAUCGGUGUGCGUCUGAUUAGCUAGUUGGUAGGGUAGAGGCCUACCAAGGCGACGAUCAGUAGGGGGCGUGAGAGCGUGAACCCCCACACGGGUACUGAGAUACGGCCCAGACUCCUACGGGAGGCAGCAGUUGGGAAUCUUAGGCAAUGGACGAAAGUCUGACCUAGCGACGCCGCGUGAGGGAAGAAGGCCUUGGGUUGUAAACCUCUGUCAUGGGGGAAGAAGUAAGUGACGGUACCCAAGAGGAAGCCCUGCUAACUACGUGCCAGCAGCCGCGGUAAGGAGUAGUACA
RNAcentral lists this ribosomal RNA (475 nucleotides) under uncultured bacterium. RNAcentral describes it as "bacterial SSU rRNA". It matches the Rfam family "Bacterial small subunit ribosomal RNA", at positions 28 to 536 of the family's 1533-position model. The record is from RNAcentral.